CAGUCGCCACGGGAAUACAGAGCAUGCAAGCGUUAUCCGGAAUGAUUGGGCGUAAAGCGUCUGUAGGUGGCACAUACAGUCAGAUGUGAAAUUCCUGGGCUUAACCUGGGGGCUGCAUUUGAUACGUAUGAGCUAGAGUGGGGAAGAGGGUUGUGGAAUUCCCAGUGUAGAGGUGAAAUUCGUAGAUAUUGGGAAGAACACCGGUGGCGAAGGCGGCAACCUGGUCCUUGACUGACGCUGAGGCGCGAAAGCGUGGGGAGCAAACAGGAUUAGAUACCCCCGUAGUCCCUGUCUCUUAUAA
RNAcentral lists this ribosomal RNA (301 nucleotides) under uncultured bacterium. RNAcentral describes it as "partial 16S ribosomal RNA". It matches the Rfam family "Bacterial small subunit ribosomal RNA", at positions 509 to 809 of the family's 1533-position model. The record is from RNAcentral.